GUAGGUGGCAAGCGUUGUCCGGAAUUAUUGGGCGUAAAGCGCGCGCAGGCGGUUCUUUAAGUCUGAUGUGAAAGCCCACGGCUCAACCGUGGAGGGUCAUUGGAAACUGGAGAACUUGAGUACAGAAGAGGAAAGCGGAAUUCCACGUGUAGCGGUGAAAUGCGUAGAGAUGUGGAGGAACACCAGUGGCGAAGGCGGUUUUCUGGUCUGUAACUGACGCUGAGGCGCGAAAGCGUGGGGAGCAAACAGGGAUUAGAUACCCUGGUAGUCCACGCCGUAAACGAUGAGUGCUAAGUGUUAGGGGGUUUCCCGCCCCUUAGUGCUGCAGCUAACGCAUUAAGCACUCCGCCUGGGGAGUACGGCCGCAAGGCUG
Molecule: ribosomal RNA, 373 nt
Filed under: uncultured organism
Description: partial 16S ribosomal RNA
Rfam family: Bacterial small subunit ribosomal RNA
Source: RNAcentral